Pongo pygmaeus (Bornean orangutan) is the source of this 13548-nucleotide long non-coding RNA. RefSeq lists it as uncharacterized. The record is from RefSeq and is a predicted model, not a curated record. The transcript is spliced from 18 exons. NCBI's taxonomy places the organism in Eukaryota, Metazoa, Chordata, Mammalia, Primates, Hominidae.
ACGUGGUGCCUUCAGGCUCUGGGGCCUAGGACCUUUGUGGUAGCGGAGUCACUGCAGAGAACCAGACAAUACCAGGUUGCUUAUAAAAGGAUGCCACGUGCUUGCUGGGGGUCCCAGGUGCAACCAAAUUGCUUGCAGCUAGGAGGACCUUGAAGAGAAAUGGAAUCAGCCUGCCAAACCAAGAAGGAUUAGCACUUUUGCUAGGAGAGCUGACCAUGCACAAACAGAUGAGAACCAAAACCGAGUGAAGAGGAUUGAAGAUGAACCCACAUUUUAAAAGUUCUUGUCUGCUGGAGGUGGCAUUACCUGUGACCUUGCUUCACUUCUCCAUACAUGGCUGUUAUAGCAGAAAAUCCAGCUUUCUGAAGCAUAUUUAAUGACAUAUGAUGAGACUUAUGUGAUGUGAGACCUGAGAAAACUAUGAUAGAAAGAAGCAACUCAAGCUGCAAGGAUAUUCCUCAUGUAUCAUGCAAGGAUAUUCCUCAUGUAUCAUGUUUUUUCUAUCUUCUGCUCUUUGCCACCUGUGAGGUCCCUGAAAAUGAAGGCCAAUACUACCCAGAGACUAAGGUGUCACUAUGUUCUUCAAGCUGCUCUGCUCCUGGGCCCAAGCUAUUCUCCUGCCUCAGCCUCCCAAGAAGCUGAAACUACAAGAACAUGAGACUGUACCUGGCUUGCAAACACCAUUGCUAAUAAGAAGAUAGGGUCUCACCCUGUCAUCCAGGCUGGAGUGCAGUGGCAUGAUCGUGGCUCACAGCAGGCACGACCUCCCUGGGCUCCGGUGAUCCUCUCACCUCCACCUCCUGUGUAGCUGGGCCCACAGGUGCAUGCCACCAUGCCCAGACAUGGAUCCCUGAGGUCAGUCCCCAAUACUACAAGACAAUUUGAUAUCAUAAUAGAAUACUGCAGACAUAAUGCUGAGUGAAGAAGAGUAGAAAUGGAAGACUUGGUUGAGCGGAAACUGAGUUCUUGAAAAGAGGAGAUGCUUGAUGAGGGAUCAGACUCUGUUGCCCAGACUGGAGUGCAGUGGCAUGAUCAUGGCUCAAUGCAGCCUCAACGUCCCUGGACUCAGGUGAUCCGUUCACCUCCACUUCCUGAGUAGCUGGGACUACAGGCAUGGAUCCCUAAGGUCUGCCCCAGUACUAUAAGACAAUUUGAUGUAAGAAAACACAGCUGAUAUAAUGCUGAGUGAAGAAGAGUAUAAAUGAGAAGAUUGGUUGUGCGGAUACUGAGUUCAUGAAAGGAGGAGAUGAUUGAUGAGGCCAGGUGCAGUGACUCAUGCCUGUAAUCCCUGCACUUUGGGAGGCUGCGGCGGGCGGAUCACCUGAGGUCGGGAGUUCGAGACCAGUCUGGGAGACAGAGCAUGGAAACCUAAGGUCUGUCCCCAAAACUACAAGACUAUUUGACAUCAUAAUAAAACACUGCAGAUAUGAUGCUGAGUGAGUAAGAGUAGAAAUGGGAAGACUUGGUUGUGCAGUAACUGAGUUCUUGAAAAGAGGAGAUGCUUGAUGAGGGCAGCGUCUCACUCUGUUGCCCAGGCUGGAGUGCAAUGGCAUGAUCAUGGUUCACUGCAGUAUCAACCUCCAUGGGCUCCGGUGGUCCUCCUACCUCCACUACCUAAGUAGCUGGGGUUUCCAUUGCAAGCCACCAUGCCUGGCUAUUUUUUGGAUUUUUUGUAGACACGGGGUCUCACUACAUUGCCAGGACUAGUCUUGAACUCCUGGGCUCAAGCUAUCCACCUCCUUGGCCUCCCAAAGUGCUGGGAUUACAGUUGUGAGCCACUGUGCCCAGCCAAUGCUAUAUAUUUUUAAUCCUGAUCGGUGUUAUAGCAUGGAUCACGAAGGUCUGUUCCCAAUACGAGAAGACUAUUUGACAUCAUGAUAAAACACUGCAGAUACGAUGCUGAGUGAAAAAGAGUAGAAAUGGGAAGACUUGCUCGUGCAGAAACUGAGUUCUUAAAGAGAGGAGAUAGUUUAUGAGGGCAUGGAAAUCUAAGGUCUUUCCGGAAUACUACAAGAGUACUUGACAUCAUAAUAAAACACUGUAGAUAUGAUGCUGAGUAAGAGUAGAAAUGGGAAGACUUGGUUGUGCAGAAACUAAGUUAUUAAAAGGAGGAGAUGCUUGAUGAGGGUUUAAGAGCUACAUGGGCACUUAUGUUAUAGCCCCUCUAAAUAGUGGCCUCCCGCUCAACAUAUAAGGCCUAAUGACUAGGUCAGAAUAUGGAGCAAAACUCCCAGGGAACCUGGGGAGGGAGUCAGGACAACAACCACGUGGCCCGGUGCCUAGAUUUGCUCUUCUCCAAGACCUUGGGGGCUGGAGUGCACUGGAGCAAUCUUGGCUGGUCAAUACUGAGUUCUUGAAAAGAGGAGAUGCUUGAUGAGGAUGGGAUCAUCUAGUUGCAGGAAAACAAGGCUCAGGGUGCCUACUGAUUCUACAUUACGCUUGGUCCGGAGAGCUGCCUUGGACUCUCCAAUGAAUUCAAACAGCUGCCUCUGUUACCUUGACUCGUCUCAGAUUUCGUUGGCCCGAGAUGGGUCCUGGCACUAGGAAUGUAAGACUGUCUCCAUUCUUUUGGCUUGUUCCAGAGAAGCCCAUGCAAGGUUCCUACUGACCAUAUGUUUCUUUCUUUUCUUUUGUUUUUUUGAGACGGAGUUUCGCUCUUGUUGCCCAGGCUGGAGUGCAAUGGCGCGAUCUCGGCUCACUGCAACCUCCGCCUCCCGGACUCAAGAGAUUCUCCUGCCUCAGCCUCCCGAGUAGCUGGGAUUACAGGCAUGCGCCACCACGCCCGGCUAAUUUUGUAUUUCUAGUAGAGUUAGGGUUUCUCCAUGUUGGUCAGGCUGGUCUCGAACUCCCGACCUCAGGUGAUCUACCCUCCUUGGCCUCCCAAAGUGCUGGGAUUACAGGCCUGAGCCACCGCGCCCGGCCUUGACCAUAUGUUUCAUUUCUAGCUUUGAUGUCUGGGCAUCGAUUUCCCUCGGUUAAACUAUUUGCUCAAUGUUAAGGCCACUCUGUAGAAAUUUGUCUGUGUAACUGAGGUGCUAUGCAGGCCUGCCUGUGUGACUGUCAUGCAGGCCUGUCUGUGUGAUUGUCAGGGAGAAUUGGUCUGCCACAAUCCUUUUCUAAGCAUAGCCAAUAGAGGUAGUUAGGGAUAAUUUGUAUAUUACAGAAAUUGCCUUACAGAGAGUAACACAUUUCUAUACUCUCCUUCCAUAACAGACACUUAAAAAAAAAAAAAAGUAAUGUAUGCUUGCUGUGGACCUCAUUUAAGAUUGCAACAGAAGCACUUUUCAAUACUGUUAAACAGCUUUUUACUUUCCAUAUUUUAAGCUUUUUAGUUUAUUAUUUUCUUAAUUUUCUAUUUUUAAUUUUUUGAUAUAUUAUAUUUGUAUAUAUUUAAGGGUACAUGUGAAAUUUUGUUACAUGCAUACAAUGUGUAAUGAUCAAUUCAUGAUAUUUAAGUUAACUAUCAACAAAGUAUUUAUCAUUUCUAUGUGUUGGGUACAUUUCAAGUCCUUUCUUCCAGCUAUUUUAAAACUACAGAAAAUUGUUAAUUAUAGUCACCUUAUUCUUCUAUCAAAGUUUAGAGCUUAUUUUUUCUAACUGUAUGUUUCUACUCAUUAACCAACUCUCUUCAGCCCCACUGCCCUCCCGCAAAUACACCCUUCCCUGUCUCUGGUAUCUAUCAUUCCACGCUCCACCUCCAUGCCAACAAGUAUUUUAGCUCCUACAGAUGAAUGAGAGCUAUAUUUUCCUUUCUGUGCCUGGCUUAUUUUACUUAACAUAAUGAUCUUCAGUUCCAUCCAUGUUGCUGCAAAUACAAGAUUUCAUUUUUUUAAUGGCUGAAGAGUAUUCCAUUGUGUAUAUAUAGACUGCAUAUUCUAGGUUUCCCAGUUUGUUAGUGUAUAGUCGUUCAUAAUACUCUCUGAUGAUCUUUUGUAUUUCUGUGGUAUCAGUGGUAAUCUCUCCUUUGCCAUUUCUGAUUUUGUUUAUUUGGGUCUGUUCUUUUCUUGGUUAGUCUAGCUAGUGGUUUAUCAGUUUCAUAUAUGUGUGUGUGUGUGUAUGUAUAUAUAUAUAUAUAUAUAUAUAUAUAUAUAUAUAUAUAUAUAUAAAACUGUCACCCAGGCUGGAGUGCAGUGGUGUGAUCUUGGCUCACUGCAACCUCCUCCUCCUGGGUUCAAGCGAUUCUUGUGCCUCAGCCUCCCUAGUAGCUGAGUUUACAGGCGUGCGCCACCAUGCCCGGCUACUUUUUCUAUUUCUAGUAGAGAUAGGAUUUCACCAUUUUGGCCAAGCUGGUCUCGAACUCCUGACCUCAAGUGAUUCACCCGUCUCGGCCUCCCGAAGUGCUGGGAUUACAGGAGUGAGCCAUCGCGCCUGGCAGUUUUGUUUAUAUUUUCAAAGAACCAAUUUUUCAUUUUGUUCAUCCUUUGUGUUGGUUUUUAAUCUCCAUUUUGUUUAGUUCUGCUUUGAUCUGUAUUAUUUAUUGAUCCACGUUACCAUGGUUUUUUUUUUAGUAGAAAAUACCUUUUAUUUAUACAUGGAUUCAGAAAAUAAGGAAAUACUCUCAAAAAGAAAAACACUGAUAUAAAUGGACCAUGCCAUAAUAAGCACUGAUUAAAUUUAAUACUUCUGAUUCUCUUGUUUUAUGCAUAAAUCAGUCUUUAGAUUCCUGUAAAAGACAUAAAGAACUGAAUUAUUCAAUCAAUAAACACAAUUUACGUAUUAAAUAUAACACUUUACGUCUCACAAUUAGAGAACAAGUUUUUUUUUUUUGAGAUGGACUUCUGGCUCUGUCGCCCAGGCUGGAGUGUAGUGGUCUGAUCUUGGCUCACCGCAACCUCCAACCUCCCAGGUUCAAGUGAUUCUCCUGCCUCAGCCUCCCGAGUAGGUGAGAUUACAGGUGCCUGCCACCACGCCGGCCUAUUUUUGUAUUUUUUAGUAGAGACGGGGUUUUGCCAUGUUGCAGGCUAGUCUCGAACUCCUGACCCCAAGUGAUCCGCCCACCUUGGCCUCCUAAAGUGCUGGGAUUACAGGUGUGAGCCACCGCGCCCAGCAAGAAUGAGAAUUUUUCAUAGGUUUAUCAGUCUUUUGGCACAAAAUCAUUUAAUAUAUUAAAAUAGUAGGCAUUUAGCCAUCCAUAUCAUUUGUCUGUUCAAUAAAUUUGGAAGUAAAGAAAUGUUACCAAAAUCUUGUCUAAUCUGAAAUUAAUAAACAUGUUUAAGAUUUUUUUUUACUCAAAUAGGAAAUAAAAAGGGAACUUACAUAAUAUCCAGAGAAUAAUUAAAGGCAAAAUACAUCAAAUCAAAUCCUAUUAUGCCUGCAGAUGCUUUUCUCAGAGGAACGCCUUUAUCCAUUAAUGACUUUAUUAAAAUGUUUAUUUAUUUAUUAUCAUAAGCUCAACCAAGUGUUACAUAAAACAGUUUUGAAAAUUAAGGUAAUAAGACCGAAAAGAAUGAACUAAUCUUACCAAAUGUUAAUAAACAAAUAAUUAAUCCAAGCAAGUGAGAAGAAUUGAGUCAAUCAUUUUGAAAGUGAAAUCACAGGAAUAGAAAGCCAAAGAUUAAUAAUCAAUGAAUUUUAAACAGAUUCUUUGAAAUUAUCAAUAAAAUAUAUCAGCCUUAUUUUAGUCCAUUCAGGCUGCUGUAGCAAAAUACCCUAACUAGGUAAUUUAUAAUCUUUUAUAAAUAAUAAAACUUAUUGCUUACAGUUCUGGUGUCUGGGAAGUCCAAGAUCAAGGCCCCAGCACAUUGAUUGUCUGUUGAAGGCUCACUCUCUGCUUCAAAGAUGGCACCUUCUAUCUAUGUGCUCACAUGGCAGAAGAGGUGACAAGCUCUCUCAUGUCUGUUUUAUUAGGGAACUAAUCUCAUUCAGUAUGACUGACCCUCCAUUAUCUAAUCAGCUUCCAAAGGCUACAUCUCUUAAUAAUGUCACCUUGGGGGUUAGGUUUCAACAUAUAAAUUUUGGGGGAUACAGACUUUUAGAACAUACCUUCCCACCCUUGGGCCCCCCAAAUUUGUCUUUCCCACAUGCAAAAUAUAUUCAUCCUAUGCUAAUAGCCCCCAAAUUCUUUUUUUUUUUUUUUUUUUUUUUUCCUGAGACAGAGUCUCACUCUGUUACCCAGGCUGGAGUGCAGUGGCGCAAUCUUGGCUCGCUGCAACCUCCACCUCCCAGGCUCAAGUGAUUCUCCUGCCUCAGCCUCCUGAGUAGCUGGGACUACAGGCGUGUGCCACUAUGCCCAGGUAAUUUUUGUAUUUUUAAUAUAGACGGGGUUUCAAUUUGUUGGCCAGGCUGGUCUUGAACUCCUGACCUCGUGAUCCACCCACCUUGGCUUCCCAAAGUGUUGGGAUUACAGGCGUGAGCCACCGUGCCCGGCAAUAGCCCCCAAAUUCUUAACCUGUUUUUGCAUCAACUCAAAAGUUUAAAGUUCAAAGUCUCAUCUAAAUAUCAUCUACAUUAGAUUUGGGUGAGACUCAAGAUAUCAUUCAUUCUGAGCCAAAUUCCCCUUCUACUCUGAGCUUUUGAAGUUAAACAAGUUUUGUGUUUCCAAAAUACAGUGGUGGGACAGGCAUAAGUUAGAAAUUCCCAUUCCAUAAGGGAGAGAGAAGAAAGGAAAAGGGGUAAUAUGUUUCAAGCAAGUCUAAAACCCAAGAGCACAAACAAUAUUAAAACUUAAGGCUGGAGAAUAAUCUUCUUUGACUCAGUGUUGUGCCUUUCACACACACUUGGAUGAGGAUUGGGCCCCCAAGGCUUUAAGUGGUCCCAUUCCCAAUGACUUUUCUGUGCAUAGCCCGUGCCACAGUGCUCAUGUGUUGGAGUCUUGUGUUUGUGGUUCUCCUAGGCUGGAGUUGCACACUGGUGGCUUUACCAAUCUGAGGUCUCUGGGAUGGCCCUGCCCUCAUGGUUUUACCAGACUUUGCCUUUAUGGUGGUCCCUCCAUGGCUUUAAUAGACAUUGCCCCAAUGGUGGUUCUUUAUUGUAGUCCUGUUCCUGUGGGACAUCUUUGUCCACGCCCUGCAGCUCUCUAGGGUACCCUUAGUAAUAUAGGUGGAGGUAGCCGUGUCCUUACAGCUCAUUUUGCUCUGUGCUCCUGUGGAGAUGGCACUGUGUUGAUGCUGCCAAGAUUUUUACUGCCUGUGCACUUUAGAGUGGUGGCCUGAACCACAUCUGGGCCCACUUGAGACACAUCUGAUGAGAGAGGGAGCUGAAAAAUGCUAUGCCAGAAUGUAGGGAGCAGAGACUUGAGGUAGUUCAGGGCAGCAAGCACUGAGGUUCCUUGGAUGCCCAAGGUCCCUCUUUUGACCUCAUUUUACACCCCAGGUUUGGUAUUCUGAGCCUGUGAUGUGAGUGGCAGGCUGGAUGGUCUCUGAAAUGCCUUUAGAGUCAUUCUCUUAUUGUCAUGCAGAAUAGCAUCUGCCUUCCUUCUAUCCCUACUAAUCUUCUUAUCAAAUGGUGGCUUGGUCAUACCUUUAGUAUUCUCUUCUGAAUAUGCUUUUUCAUUAAUUCUUCACAACAUAGCCACACUGAAAAUUUUUCAGAUCUUUACAUUCUGCUUCCCUUUUGAUUAUAAAUUCUUUUUAAUUUGUUUCUAUCUUCUUGUAUUUUACUACAAGCAUUCAAGAGAGGCCAUACCACACCCUCAACACUUUGCUUCGAUAUUUAUUUCACUAACUAUACUAUCAUUGCUCAGAAGUUCUACCUUCUACAAAGCCCUAGGAUACAUACACAGUUCAGCCAGGUUAUUUGCCACUUUAUAAGAGGGAUGACUUUUCCUCCAGUUUCUGAUAACAUUUCUCAUUUUCACCCGAGACUUCAUCAGAAUGGCCUUUACCAUCCAGAUUUCUACCAAAAUUCUGUUCAUGACCUCUUAGGAAAUCUCUAAGAAGAUUAAGGCAUUGUUUACAGCUCUCCUCUUCUGAGCCAUAACCAGAUCACUCUUAACACUCUGCUCACAGAAAUGUAGGCUUUUUCUAGCCUGAUCCUUUGCAUUCUUACGGCCUCUACCCGUUUCCUAGUUCCCAAGCUGCAUCCACAUUUGUAGGUAUUUGUUAGAGCAGCACCUCACUUCUUGCUGUCAAUUUCUACCUUGAAUCUUUCAGGGUGCUAUAACAAUGUAAUUUGGACUGGGUAGUUUUUAAAAACAUAAUUUACUGAGAGUCCUGGAGUCACGGAUUUUGAACAUUAAGGUGCCAGAAGAUGUGGUGAACAAUGAGGGCUCAGUCUCUGCUUCAAAGAUGGCACUUUCUAGCUAUGUCCUCAUAUGGUAGUAGAAGUAAAAGAGCUCCCUCAGGCCACAUUUUUAAGGACACUAAUCCCAUUCAUGGGGGCAGAGCCUCAUGACCAAAUCACCUCCCAUAGGCCUUACCUCUUAAUACCGUUACCAUCGGGAUUAGGUACUGGGGCCAUCAUUAAAAAGUCAUUAGGUAUUUGGCGAUCAUUAAAAAGUCAGGAAACAACAGAUGCUGGAGAGGAUGUGGAGAAAUAGGAAAGCUUUUACAUUGUUGGUGGGAGUGUAAGUUAGUUCAACCAUUGUGGAAGAGUGUGUCGAUUCCUUAAGGAUCUAGAAUCAGAAAUUCCAUUUGACCCAGCAAUCCCAUUACUGGGUAUAUACCCAAAGGAUGAUCAAUCAUUCUACUAUAAAGACACAUGCACACGUAUACAUAUGUUUAUUGUGGCAAUGUUCACAAUAGCAAAGACUUGGAACCAACCUAAAUGCCAUUGAUGACAGACUGGAUAAAGAAAAUGUGGCACAUAUACACCAUGAAAUACUAUGCAGCCACAAAAAAGGAUGAGUUCAUGUCUUUUGCAGGGAUAUGGAUAAAGCUGGAAACCAUCAUUCUCAGCAAAAUAACACAGGAACAGAAAACCAAACACUGAAUGUUAUCACUCAUAAGUGGGAGUUGAUCAAUGAGAACACGUGGAUACAGGGAGGGGAACAUCACACAUUGGGGCCUGUCAGUGGUGGGGGGCUAGGGGAGGGGUAGCAUUAGAAGAAAUACCUAAUGUAGAUGGCAGGUUGAUGAGUGCCACAAACCACCAUUGCAUGUAUAUACCUAUGUAACAAACCUGCAUAUUCUGCACAUGUAUCCCAAAACUUAAAGUAUAAUAAUAAAAAAAAGAAAAUGGUUCAUAUUCAUAAAAUAUCUUUCAAGGUCAAGUUUCAUUACAAAAAAUGCAAUUCUAACCCCCCAGUUGACUGAAUGGAUCCCACACUUCUGCCAAAGAGAUUCCAAAGAAACCUGAAAAACUAGUUAAGGCCAUAAAGGGAAGGAAGUAGGUGGUCAGACAUGCCUCAUUAUACCCUCUCCCAUUUGGAUUUCAGGCAUAACUGACCAGCAUGAACAUUAAAACAGAUCUUGGCCUGGUGAGGUGGCUCACGUCUAUAAUGUCAACACUUUGGGAGGCUGAGGUGGGCGUAUCCCUUGAAGUCAGGAGUUCAAGAACAGCCUGGGCAACAUGGUGAAACCCUGUCUCUACAAAAAUACAAAAAUUAGCUAGGCAUGGUGACAUACACCUUAGUCCUAGCAACUUGGGAGGCUGAGGCAGGAGUAUCGCUUGAGCCUGGGAGGCAGAGGUUGCAGUGAGCUGAGAUUGUGCCACUGCAUUUCAGCCUGGGUGACAAAGUGAGACCACCUCUCAAAACAAACAAACAAAAACAAAGAAAAAAAACAGAUCUUAACACUGACAAAACAGACUCUUUGUAGCAAUAAGAUACCAAAGUCCACCCUGACUCUAGUAUGACUUCAUAUGAUAAAAAUGGAAAUAAAAAUAUUUUACCCCAAAGUAUGUUUUUUUGCCCUAUUUUGAAAUGGACCUGCAAAGCCAUUGGGAAACAUUUGCAUCUGUAAAGCAUCUCAUUAACAUAACUAGAUCUUUCCCCUUCCAGGCACUCCUAAACCUGAAGAGAUUAACUGAGAUUCUAGCACCUUUUAAAGUCUACAUAGGAAACAUUCACCAUUUAUUAUCUCUAAGGGCAGCCACUUAUGAGACUUCAUCUGUGUAAUAAAAACCUUGGUCUCCACAACCCCUUAUGUUAACCCAGUCAUUCUUUUCUACUGAUUCCAGGUCUUUAGAAAAUAACUUGACUCUUUCAAGCAAUUGCCAAUCAGAAAAUCUUGGAAUCCUCCUAUGACCUGUAAGCACCCACUUUCCCCUGCUUUAAGUUGUCCUGCCCUUCUAGACCAAACCAAUGUAUACCUCACAUGUAUUGAUUGAUGUCUUAUGUCUCUCUAAAACAUAGAAAAGAAAGCUGUAGCCCAACCACCUUGAGCACAUGUUCUCAGGACCUCUUGAGACCAUGCCUUGGGCCGUGACUACUCAUAUUUGGCUUAGAAUAAACCUCUUCACAUAUGUUACAGUUUGGCUUUUUAAGUCAACAUUAAUUGGCACCCUACAUAUGGGGCCUCAGAGAAGACUCAGAACCCUGAAAGAGUCACCCAAACCCAGAGCUAAGGUACCAGCAGGGGCCCAUUGAAAGCCCCCCAACUCCAAGCUUCUUCUUGAGUGAAACUGUUGCAGGGCUUUGACUCCUGGGUACAUGUAUCUCAUCUGAAAGGGAAUCCUGACGCCUACUGAAUCUUAACAGUCAACGUUGAUAUCUGGCAUCAAAUUCAAGUUGACCAAAGUUCCAUCUUCAGACCUGGGAGAAGAUGACAGUCAAAAUGAACUACUUUCAUGUGACACUGGACCAGGCCUAUAUACAAAGGCAUAAAUAAUCAUUGAAUAAUGUUUCAUCUAUCUAUCUUAAUAUAAUUUGUUCUAUGCCUUACUAGAUAAAUGUUUAUAGUUACCUGUGAGUUUUCUUUUCCUGCCAUUGUCAGAGCUAGGCAGGGCUUAAGUCCCUUUUGUUUAAACAUUACUAACUCAAUACAUAGCUUGCAAAAUUGGGUAAAACAACAAAGGUUACUUUUUCACUCUCUCUCUGCUUAAUAUCUCUGAAAUUUAAAACUAUUCAGAAUCCCACUGGGCCCGAUCUAUUUUCAAUGCUAAUGCUCCACUGCUAAAACUAUAUAAGCACCUUCCCUCUAGGCUCAGGCACUAUCUUGGAAGAGGUAAGUGUGUCAGAUUGUAAAGGUUGAUUUUUGAGCAACAAAAUUAAUUUAGAUCUUCCAAAUAAAAAAUGGGCACACAGAUGCCCAAACAGUUGGCAAAAUAAGAUACUUUACCUCCUGGACCAGUAUGUGGUCCUUUUUCAUCCAUCCCAACCAUAAUUUCCUCUUUCCUGUAGAAUUAAAAGAAAAUUACAAAGAGGAUAUGAACAUAUCUGCUAACAAAACCUCCUGGGUAUAGUGCUCCCAGUUAUGAGAUUUAUGCAGAUUGUUAUAUAAAGUUUUUUUAAAUCAAGCACCUUAGGACAAACUAUUAAAAAGACUGCUAAAAGCGUUGUGACACAACAAAAGUCUCUAAAUUCUGUAGCUUAAAAAAUUUUAACAAAAUACUUAUCUUUUGCAAGCUAAUUGCUACAAGUCUAUAACUAAAACAUGUAUUGACUGAUGUCUUAGGUCUCCCUAAAAUAUAGAAAACCAAGUUGUAAACCAAUCACCUUGAGCACAUGUUCUCAGGACCUCUGGAGACUGUGCCUUGGGCCAUGGUCACUCAUAUUUGGCUGAGAAUAAAAUUUAAAAAAUAUUUUACAGAGUGGGGUUUUUCUUGUUGGCUUUUUCAUAAAAUGUAAAAUGUUUGAGAAAGACACUUCUCAAGUGGCCAAGUGAGGGUAUUCUAGCUUAAUGCGUAGAAUUUAUAGCUAAGUCAAUUUUGUAACCUUGCCUUUUGACUUUUGGUUCUUGAUGCUUACAUUACAAAAUUUUAAGGUUUGAUAAAUGCCUGCUCCACUUCCAUUCCCAUCUGGCCUAGAAUAUUUAAAUUGGCUAUAAGUCUUUUGGCUCUAAAUCUGUUGGCCGUGAGUCCCCACCAAGGGAUAGGAUAGACCCAGGGCAGAUAGCCACACCACCCCAGCAAUGGUAUGCAACAAAAUGAUAGUUUGGCCAUUGAUGUUGCCUCUGGGAAAUUUUUUUUUUUUUUUUUUUUUUUUGACGAAGUCUUGCUCUGUUGCCCAAGCUGGAGUGCAGUGGUGUGUUCUAGGCUGACUGCAACCUUUGCCUCCUGGGUUCAAGUGAUUCUCUUGCCUCAGCCUCCCAAAUAGCUGGUAUUACAGGCGUGCACCACCACACCUGGCUAAUUUUUGUUUUUUUUUUUUUUUUUGAGACAGAGUCUCACUCUGUCAUUCAGGCUGGAGUGCAGUGGCAUGAUCUCGGCUCACUGCAACCUCCACUUCCCAGGUUCAAGUGAUUCUCCUGCCUCAGCCUCCUGAGUAGCUGGGAUUAUAGGCAUGUACCACCAGGCCCAGUUAAUUUUUGUAUUUUUUGUAGAGAUGGGGUUUCGCCAUGUUGGUCAGGCUAGUCUCGAACUCCUGACCUCGUGAUCCACCCGUCUCGGCCUCCCAAAGUGAUGAGAUUAUAGGCGUGAGCCACUGUGCCUGGCCUAAUUUUAGUAUUUUUAGUAGAGGCGAGGUUUUGCAAUGUUGGCCAGGCUGGUCUUGAACUCCUGACUUCAGGUGAUCCGCCUGCCUCAGCCUCCCAAAGUGCUGGGAUUACAGGUGUGAGCCACCACACUUGUCCUCCUCUGCUCAAUCCUGACCAGAAAAAUCAAAUUCUAACUCCCCCAAUCAACUGAAUUCCCCUCCAUUCCUCUGCCAAGGGGAUUCUAAAGAAUCCUGAAAACUAGUUCAGGCCAUGACAAUUAACAUUAAAACAGAUCUUAAUACUGACAAAACAGAUUCUUUGUAGCAAUAAGAUACCGAAUUUCAACCUGACUCAAGUAUAACUUCACAUGAUAAAAAAGGAAAUAAAAAUAUUUUACCCCCAAAAUAGAUUUCUUUGACAUAUUUUGAAAUGGCCCUGCAAGGCAAUUGGGGAAAUUUUGCAUCUGUAAAGCAUCUCCUUAACAUAACUAGAUCUUUCCCCUUCCAGGCACUCCUAAACCUGAAGAGGUUAACUGAGAUUCUAGCACCCUUUUUUUUUUUUUUCUUUUAUUAUUAUUAUUAUUAUUAUUAUUAUUAUACUUUAGGUUUUAUGGUACAUGUGCCCAAUGUGCAGGUAAGUUACAUAUGUAUACAUGGGCCAUGCUGGUGCGCUGCACCCACCAACUCGUCAUCUAGCAUUAGGUAUAUCUCCCAAUGCUCUCCCUCCCCCCUCCCCCCACCCCACAACAGUCCCCGAAGUGUGAUGUUCCCCUUCCUGUGUCCAUGUGUUCUCAUUGUUCAAUUCCCACCUAUGAGUGAGAAUAUGCGGUGUUUGGUUUUUUGUUCUUGCAAUAGUUUACUGAGAAUGAUGAUUUCCAAUUUCAUCCAUGUCCCUACAAAGGACAUGAACUCAUCAUUUUUUAUGGCUGCAUAGUAUUCCAUGGUGUAUAUGUGCCACAUUUUCUUAAUCCAGUCUAUCAUUGUUGGACAUUUGGGUUGGUUCCAAGUCUUUGCUAUUGUGAAUAAUGCGGCAAUAAACAUACGUGUGCAUGUGUCUUUAUAGCAGCAUGAUUUAUAGUCCUUUGGGUAUAUACCCA